UACGGGGGGGGUAAGCGUUGUUCGGAAUUACUGGGCGUAAAGCGCACGUAGGCGGACAGGGAAGUUGGGGGUGAAAUCCCGGGGCUCAACCCCGGAACUGCCUCCAAAACUCCCUGUCUGGAGGAUGAGAGAGGCGAGUGGAAUUCCGAGUGUAGAGGUGAAAUUCGUAGAUAUUCGGAGGAACACCAGUGGCGAAGGCGGCUCGCUGGCUCAUUUCUGACGCUCAGGCGCGAAAGCUAGGGGAGCGAACAGG
Molecule: ribosomal RNA, 253 nt
Filed under: uncultured bacterium
Lineage: Bacteria
Description: partial 16S ribosomal RNA
Rfam family: Bacterial small subunit ribosomal RNA
Source: RNAcentral